This 491-nucleotide ribosomal RNA is filed under the name uncultured bacterium. RNAcentral describes it as "bacterial SSU rRNA". It matches the Rfam family "Bacterial small subunit ribosomal RNA", at positions 15 to 518 of the family's 1533-position model. The record is from RNAcentral.
GAUUAUGGCUCAGAACGAACGCUGGUGGCGUGUCUUAUACAUGCAAGUCGAGCGAGGCAGCAAUGCCGAGCGGCGAACGGGUGAGUAACGCGUAAGCAAUCUGCCCCAUAUCAGGAAAUACCCGUGCCAACGCGCGGUUAAUGUCCAGGAGAGUGGCCCUCUGCAUGGAGGGUUGACUAGAGAUUUAUCGGUAUGGGAUGAGCUUGCGUCCGAUUAGCUAGUUGGCGGGGCAACGGCCCACCAAGGCGACGAUCGGUAGCCGGCCUGAGAGGGUGAUCGGCCACAUUGGGACUGAGAUACGGCCCAGACUCCUACGGGAGGCAGCAGUAGGGAAUAUUGCACAAUGGGGGAAACCCUGAUGCAGCAACGCCACGUGUGGGAAGAAGCAUUUCGGUGUGUAAACCACUGUCAUGAGGGAAUAAGGCCCGCCUUCGGACGGGAUUGAAUGUACCUUGAGAGGAAGCACCGGCAAACUUCGUGCCAGCCGCCGC